UCGCGGAGGCGUGCCUGCGGUACGGGACGGGCGCGGUCGUCGACCUCGCGGGCCUGUGCGAGCGGGACGACGUCAGCGCGUUCGAGGCGCUCUUCAGCGAG
This 101-nucleotide transfer RNA is filed under the name Actinotalea fermentans. RNAcentral describes it as "tRNA-Asp". Lineage: Bacteria; Bacillati; Actinomycetota; Actinomycetes; Micrococcales; Cellulomonadaceae. The record is from RNAcentral.